Myxocyprinus asiaticus (Chinese sucker) is the source of this 1246-nucleotide long non-coding RNA. RefSeq lists it as uncharacterized. The record is from RefSeq and is a predicted model, not a curated record. The transcript has 4 exons. Lineage: Eukaryota; Metazoa; Chordata; Actinopteri; Cypriniformes; Catostomidae.
AACAACUCCCUCUACUUCCAAACCGUCCUCCAAAAGUUCUUCAGGCACUCUCGCGAUCCGACUCCACAAACAUCGGUAACGUGGGACGAAUGAGCCGAGAUCUGAAGGAAUAAAUGCAUGCUUGAGAAGAAGAGAUGACUAAGCGACGCAUCUGUAUGAGGAGCCAUUGCAGGAUCACGGUAAUCUGGUUUAACCUCCAGUGUACCGUGGAAAGUAAAUUGUUGGUUUAAUAAGAAAGAACUGGCACAAGCCAACUGAAAAAAAUUCUUUCGUGAUCAUUGGAAUAUCACUGUUGUCAGUACAUAUGGCCGGUCAGUUUUCCAAUCAUGAAAACAUCUGUUCCUGUGCUGUGCACACCACAGACCUUGCAUAUGCAGCAAUAGACGUUUCUAAACAAGAUUAGGGAAACUCAAGAACAACCAUCAAUACUUCACUCCUGAUUAUAAAGAAAGAAAGAAAGAUAGAAAAACUUAAACAGCUUGCCGACAUCUGUAAAGUAUUAAAGACAUCACUUCAGUCUAUUACGAUGGACUUCAGGGGAUGAACAGAUGCCAACUCCAACCAUAAACAUUGGAUACUUCAUAUGCCACUGACUGAACCUUGGACUUAGGAUAGGCCUCACUGAAUUGGCCUGCUGGUUGAACUGCGAUGCACCUCAUCACCUUGGUCUAAUGAUGGAUACCUCCUUAUAAUAGAAUACAUAGACUUUCAAUUAUUUGCCAACAAAAGCCUUCAUUGGCCAACUAUCAAAGGACAAUGCAUCAAUGUGAACUUCUGCAGUUAAUCCAGGCUGAACUUCAUAGACAUUAGUCAUUAAUCUUACUGUUCAUACAGAAUCUUUGUAUAAACACUGGCCCUUAACACUUAGUUUACUAUUUUUAAACCAUGACCUGCACUGUACAUUAAUAACUAAUACUGGGAUUAUAUUCAUGCUGGCUAGCCAGAGGGGAACUGGCCCCCACAGUAAGCCUGGUUUCUCCCAAGGUUAUUUUUCUUCAUUAACCAGCAUCAUGGAGUUUUGUGUUCCUUGCCACAGUCGCCUUCAGCUUGCUCACAGUGGUUCUAAAUACAGUUAUUAUAUAAUUAUUUAUUUUUAUACACAAUUUACAAUCACAUUUAAUCAAACUACACAAUGAUGCCUCUAAGACUUUAUAGAUAUUACUGUUUUCAUUUUCUGUUAAUUAUUUUUUUGUAAAGCUGCUUUGAAACUAUGUGUGUUGUGAAAAGUUCUAUACAAAAAAAAAAA